GUGAUGAAGGUCUUCGGAUCGUAAAACUCUGUUAUUAGGGAAGAACAUAUGUGUAAGUAACUGUGCACAUCUUGACGGUACCUAAUCAGAAAGCCACGGCUAACUACGUGCCAGCAGCCGCGGUAAUACGUAGGUGGCAAGCGUUAUCCGGAAUUAUUGGGCGUAAAGCGCGCGUAGGCGGUUUUUUAAGUCUGAUGUGAAAGCCCACGGCUCAACCGUGGAGGGUCAUUGGAAACUGGAAAACUUGAGUGCAGAAGAGGAAAGUGGAAUUCCAUGUGUAGCGGUGAAAUGCGCAGAGAUAUGGAGGAACACCAGUGGCGAAGGCGACUUUCUGGUCUGUAACUGACGCUGAUGUGCGAAAGCGUGGGGAUCAAACAGGAUUAGAUACCCUGGUAGUCCACGCCGUAAACGAUGAGUGCUAAGUGUUAGGGGGUUUCCGCCCCUUAGUGCUGCAGCUAACGCAUUAAGCACUCCGCCUGGGGAGUACGACCGCAAGGUUGAAAC
This 504-nucleotide ribosomal RNA is filed under the name Staphylococcus aureus. RNAcentral's name for it is "bacterial SSU rRNA". It matches the Rfam family "Bacterial small subunit ribosomal RNA", at positions 405 to 900 of the family's 1533-position model. The record is from RNAcentral. Lineage: Bacteria; Bacillati; Bacillota; Bacilli; Caryophanales; Staphylococcaceae.